AUGUAAAUACAUAUUACAUGUUUAUUGAUGAAGGGGGUCAUAAUAAUUUAGAAAGUUGUUAUGGUAGCUAUGUAAAUUUAGCAUUAAUGAAGUUUUUAUAUAUAUUACGAAAUAAUAUACGUGAGAGUGUAAAUACAGUAUAUGAUAUUAGUACACUAAACUUACAGAAAUUGAGAAGUGCUUUUAUACUUAAUAAUUCUAAAAACAUAAAAGAUAAAAUAAAAGAAAAGUCUAUAGUAGAUAGUAAACAAACAACAAUGGAAAGUAUAAAUCAUUUGUAUAAUGAUAGUUCAAAUGGCUCUUUUUCGAGUAAUGUUUUGGAAAAAUAUGUUAGUAAUAGUACGAUUAACAAUUAUGGUAAAUGUAAUAAUAACCGUAUUAGUGGGUAUGACCACACACGCAAAAAUAAUUACACAGAUAGGCAUAAUCACACAUGCAAGCAUAAUCACACUAACAAACAUAAGCAUACAACUGGUCGUCAUAAUUAUAUAAAUAAUAUCAGAAGCAGUAGUAGUAGCUAUGAUAACAUAAAAUCUAAUCAUAAUACUAUUCGGGGUCGCAAAUUAGCUUGUGACUACUCAUUAAGUGAUAGCACAAUACUAGAGUCAAUGGAAUCUAUCUUUAAAACAAUACCCGAUAAAACUUUUUAUGAAAGUGACAACUCAAUUAGUAUAGAGCAAUUAUACAAUUACAAAUCCGUUAACAAUGGUGUUAAUGACAAUACUAAUAAGUAUAACGACAUAUAUAGCAUGAAUUAUGGUAUGUACAAACCAACAAAGUGUAAUAAGAACACAAAGGAACUAGCUAUGUUUGAUGAUAAAGUUGUUGAUUAUAGCAAUCAUGUGAGUAAUGUAAAUAAUAAAAAUAAUAAAAAUAAUAAUAAUAAUAAUAAUAAUAAUAAUAACAAUAAUAACAAUAAUAAUAAUAAUAAUAACAAUAUAAAUAAUAAUAACAAUAAUAAUAAUAAUAACAAUAAUAAUAAACGCAAGGAAGUGGUUGCUAUGGGUACAGUUAGUUAUACAAAUAGCAAUAAUAGAAGCAGUAGCAACGAAAAAUGCAACAUUACUACUACAACUAUUACUACUAACAAUAAUAGUAAUAGUAAUGGUAAACAUGAUAAAGUAAAAAUAUUAAAAAAUAAAGAUAGUUACCAAUUCAAUUAUUAUGACUCAGGUCAUCAAACUUAUAUAAAUGAUAAUGAUAUGAGUGAUAAUAAUACAUCACUCGUUGGAGGUGGUACUGAUAGCACUAAUAAUAAAAAUAAGAAUACGAGCAAUCGGGUUAAAAAUACUAACACUAAUUAUAGUAGCCACUGGUUUAAAGCGAAUUUGAAGCAUUCAACAUCAAACAUGAGUAAAAUGAAUAUGAAAAUGUUUCAGUUAAAAAGAAAUAGUUACAAUAUAAAUAAAAUACCAAAGUUUGUUUAUAACAUGAAUAAUAUGGUAACUAUUGGUGCAAAUAAUAGUGGAAUGUACCAUUUAAAUAGUACUAAGCAUAUCAAUUAAAAGAGGGCAAACUGGGGGUCCGGGAAAAAAA
RNAcentral lists this long non-coding RNA (1536 nucleotides) under Piliocolobus tephrosceles (Ugandan red Colobus). Its description in RNAcentral is "lncRNA (ENSPTEG00000012073.1)". Lineage: Eukaryota; Metazoa; Chordata; Mammalia; Primates; Cercopithecidae. The record is from RNAcentral.